This 209-nucleotide ribosomal RNA is filed under the name Streptomyces sp. RNAcentral describes it as "partial 16S ribosomal RNA". It matches the Rfam family "Bacterial small subunit ribosomal RNA", at positions 1107 to 1308 of the family's 1533-position model. Lineage: Bacteria; Bacillati; Actinomycetota; Actinomycetes; Kitasatosporales; Streptomycetaceae. The record is from RNAcentral.
GUCCUGUGUUGCCAGCAUGCCCUUCGGGGUGAUGGGGACUCACAGGAGACCGCCGGGGUCAACUCGGAGGAAGGUGGGGACGACGUCAAGUCAUCAUGCCCCUUAUGUCUUGGGCUGCACACGUGCUACAAUGGCCGGUACAAUGAGCUGCGAUACCGUGAGGUGGAGCGAAUCUCAAAAAGCCGGUCUCAGUUCGGAUUGGGGUCUGC